This 497-nucleotide ribosomal RNA is filed under the name uncultured bacterium. RNAcentral describes it as "partial 16S ribosomal RNA". It matches the Rfam family "Bacterial small subunit ribosomal RNA", at positions 28 to 507 of the family's 1533-position model. The record is from RNAcentral.
GAUGAACGCUGGCGGCGUGCCUAAUACAUGCAAGUCGAGCGAACAGACGAGGAGCUUGCUCCUCUGACGUUAGCGGCGGACGGGUGAGUAACACGUGGAUAACCUACCUAUAAGACUGGGAUAACUUCGGGAAACCGGAGCUCAUACCGGAUAACAUGUUGAACCGCAUGGUUCAACAGUGAAAGACGGUCUUGCUGUCACUUAUAGAUGGAUCCGCGCCGCAUUAGCUAGUUGGUAAGGUAACGGCUUACCAAGGCAACGAUGCGUAGCCGACCUGAGAGGGGGAUCGGCCACACUGGAACGGAGACACGGUCCAGACUCCUACGGGAGGAAGCAGUAGGGAAUCUUCCGCAAUGGGCGAAAGCCUGACGGAGCAACGCCGCGUGAGUGAAGAAGGUCUUCGGAUCGUAAAACUCUGUUAUUAGGGAAGAACAAAUGUGUAAGUAACUAUGCACGUCUUGACGGUACCUAAUCAGAAAGCCACGGCUAACUACGUG